RNAcentral lists this ribosomal RNA (492 nucleotides) under uncultured bacterium. RNAcentral's name for it is "partial 16S ribosomal RNA". It matches the Rfam family "Bacterial small subunit ribosomal RNA", at positions 29 to 507 of the family's 1533-position model. The record is from RNAcentral.
AGUGAACGCUGGCGGUAGGCCUAACACAUGCAAGUCGAACGGCAGCACAGUAAGAUCUUGCUCUUACGGGUGGCGAGUGGCGGACGGGUGAGGAAUACAUCGGAAUCUACUUUUUCGUGGGGGAUAACGUAGGGAAACUUACGCUAAUACCGCAUACGACCUACGGGUGAAAGCAGUGGAUCUUCGGACCUUGCGCGAUUGAAUGAGCCGAUGUCGGAUUAGCUAGUUGGCGGGGUAAAGGCCCACCAAGGCGACGAUCCGUAGCUGGUCUGAGAGGAUGAUCAGCCACACUGGAACUGAGACACGGUCCAGACUCCUACGGGAGGCAGCAGUGGGGAAUAUUGGGCAAUGGGCGCAAGCCUGAUCCAGCCAUACCGCGUGGGUGAAGAAGGCCUUCGGGUUGUAAAGCCCUUUUGUUGGGAAAGAAAAGCAGCAGGUUAAUACCCCGCUGUUCUGACGGUACCCAAAGAAUAAGCACCGGCUAACUUCGUG